RNAcentral lists this non-coding RNA (31 nucleotides) under Rattus norvegicus (Norway rat). Lineage: Eukaryota; Metazoa; Chordata; Mammalia; Rodentia; Muridae. The record is from RNAcentral.
UGUAGCCUGAUGACAGAACAUUUGAGACUGA